AGCCCUGAGUCCUUUUGUUCCUGUUUUGAUAUUGCAUUUUUGUGUAUUGUGAAUUAUUACCAUUGGUAAUAAAUUCCUCUUUUUGUACUCCAGCGCCGUGUGUGUUAAAUCUGCAUCUAGGAAUCCAGAACUCGGCUUAGCCAUUCUUGACAAUGAGACCAGAUUAGCGCAUCUCGCGGCAUGGCCGGUACAUCUGACAGUAAUUCUGAUUUUCUUUACAAGCUUGUGUUUGUGGAUGUCUUUUCCUCUUGGAUAGUUGCCAAGAUGAGAGCUUGACACAAGCGUCCAGUUUGGGAAGGAAAGACGUAGGAUUUCACCCAAAAACCUUAUCUGGUUAACCGCUGACGCUGUUUCAUCCUCCAAAGUCCAAACAUAAGAGGAGCAGUUGGCAACACGUUACUGUUGUGUGUCAAGUGUUUGCCGCUGCAGCUCGCUGGGGUGGAUAUCUGCUCUAAUUGAUACCAACAUCAAGAAUGGGAUAUUCUGAUAAUUUUUUUUCUGACUGAUUUGGUUGAAACAACUGAUUGAUUCGGCAGUAAGCAACUAUGGUGCAUUCACUGACCGCCAAGAAAGUGCUAAAGCUCGACGCUUGAUGAACAAACAUGAUCAGUGAAGCAUGAAGACAUCCAGCUGGCAACGAGUGGAGACCUGCCCUCCUGUUCAGAGGGAUCCACCUAACCUGACAUUCAGGAAUGCAUCGGCAUGUCGAGCGUGAAAUCCAAACAAUGUCACCUCUGAGCUUGGAAGAGCUCUGAACUCUUGGGACUAGUAGUAAUGGUGGUCCGAGUGUUUCCAGUUGAAGAUGUGCAUUAUCUAAACUUAGCCUCUUCUUGCAAAACAAAACCAUCAAGCUGCCAUCUCCCGCGUCUGUUGUCGACUGACUGAAUUUGGCAGAGCUCCAUUUUAACAUGUGUAGCGAAGCCUGUUCGUCCAGCAUGUCACAUGGAGCAUGUCUUCCCAGCUCCAUGUUUCCACUUGCUGUCAGCGUCCUACAUGGCGAACGGCAGCAGUAAGACCGUAAAAGGAACAUUUGAAGACAAGCGUCUUGUCAGCGUGACUCCGACUGCACGCGACCUCUGACUUAUGACCUCAUGAUGGCGCUGCCAGAGGCCAACCCCUUCAGUGUGGGGCGAGGUUGUCCAAAGGCUUUUCCAACGGCAGCACAGGUGCAGGAGAUAUGCAAAGAAGAAAGCUUUGUCAUACAAGUGACAUGUCUGACCCAUCAUCAUCAACUUCACUCCUUUUUAUCAACAGUCUUUGCACAUUUUAAAGGUUUGUUUCUCAUUAUUCCGACUUUAAAAACAAUGUUUUCUUCUUGAAUAUUUCAACUCUAUGCUACUAAAAUGACCUCAUAACAAUUGUGACUUUUCUUGUUAAAAUACAACUUUUUUUCUCUUAAUAUUUUGGACAUUUUGCUUCAAUUCCUGUUUUUCUUGAUUGACAUGUUUUAUAUUAUUUCAACUUGUUCUUGCAAAUUUUCUUCUCGUACCAUUUGAUGGGACUUUAUUCCCAUCAUAUUUUAACUUACCCCCCAACCUAAUUUUCCAAAAAUGACAAUUAUACUUUUUAGUGGUGUCCGAUAUUAAGAGGGAGCUGCCAACCCUCCCUCACUGAUCAGGUGUAUGCCCCGCCUACACACUCUCACUUGUCUAUUUGUGUACAAUGUAUCUACAGGUAGUUUCUUAUGACAUUUUGGUUAGUCCUUUAUUUAUAUUAUAUCUAUUUGCCAAUUAAUCUUUGUUAACUGCUAAUGAUUGGAUCCUUAAUUAGUUAGUUUUCCACAUCGAGGUUAUUGGUUGUUUCUAAUGUCUCAUCAGUUUCUCCCUUCUUUGAGGUGAUUGGUUGACGCACAAGCAUGGAAGCGCGCCCAUGUGAGUGCAGGCCAGGUGCAUGUCAUCACUCUGAUUGGACUCUCCCAAGUUUCACCCGGAGGAGGGCAGGGUUAACUAUGCAGUUCUUUUUGUAAAGAUAGUUACAAACUGUAUAAUAUAGAGGUUAACGUAUACAGAAAUUAAAAUCUAAAUGAAGUAACAUUAAAAUGCAUUUGUAACAUAAAGGAAGGAUCUGGAAAAUGUAAAUAUGACUUGUGUAGCAACUACCUCACCCUCGCAUUAAGCCGUUAUGGUUGGGCUCUCACUAUAUAUGGGGGUCUGGUUGAAUUGGUGUGUGGCCUGUUGUGUGUGCUGAUGGAAAAAAAAAAAAAAAAAAAAUAAUAAUAAUAAUAAUAAUAAUAAUAAUAAUGCUGUUGGACUGUCUUGUGGUACGUGGAAUAAAUGUGAUGAGCUCGCAACCUCAGCUUCUGGUGUAUACUUCAGAUGCUACGGCUAUCCUGGGCUAGUAAGAGGCCAUUUUUAUAACUGGAAAUCUUACAGUCUGUAAAAAUGUUACCUUUUCAUAGGAUAUAUUUUAUUGGUACACAUCAGUAUUUCAACUUUAUGCUACUACAAUGACAUGCACUUUCUUCCUCAUAGUGCACGUUUAUUCUCGUACAAUCCCAGCUUUUUUUCUAGUUAAAAUACGUCUUUUUUGACUUUAUUCUCAGAAUAUUAAAAUGUUUUCCCCAACCUAAUUUCCCCAAAAUUACAGCUGCAUUUGGUUCUGUUUCUUAUAAUAUUUAGACUGUUAAGAAAUAUAGAUUUUUUUUCCUCAUAAUGUUAGUUUAUUCUCAUAAAAUGGAGAC
Molecule: long non-coding RNA, 2680 nt
Organism: Dunckerocampus dactyliophorus (ringed pipefish)
Lineage: Eukaryota; Metazoa; Chordata; Actinopteri; Syngnathiformes; Syngnathidae
Exons: 4
Source: RefSeq, a predicted model, not a curated record